This 254-nucleotide ribosomal RNA is filed under the name uncultured bacterium. RNAcentral's name for it is "partial 16S ribosomal RNA". It matches the Rfam family "Bacterial small subunit ribosomal RNA", at positions 524 to 776 of the family's 1533-position model. The record is from RNAcentral.
UACGUAGGUGGCAAGCGUUGUCCGGAUUUACUGGGCGUAAAGGAUGCGUAGGCGGACAUUUUAAGUCAGAUGUGAAAUACCCGAGCUUAACUUGGGUGCUGCAUUUGAAACUGGGUGUCUAGAGUGCAGGAGAGGUAAGUGGAAUUCCUAGUGUAGCGGUGAAAUGCGUAGAGAUUAGGAAGAACACCAGUGGCGAAGGCGACUUACUGGACUGUAACUGACGUUGAGGCAUGAAAGCGUGGGGAGCAAACAGG